AGCUACAUCCGUCACCUGACACGGCCCUACCAGGAACAGCCGCGCUCCCGCGGAUUCUGGUGCUGCUCGCGUCCCCGCUCCCCUAUUCCCCUUAUUUUAUUCCUGGCUCCCCUCGUCGAAAGUCUUCCAUUCUUCAAACUAGAUUAUUUAAAAAUGAAAAAGGAAGAAAGGAAAGCGAGGUCAUCUCAUUGCUCUAUCCGCCAAUCAGGAGGCUGAAUGUCAGUUUUGAACUAAAAGCCGCUCCGCUCCUCUUCUAGAUUUGGAAAACAAGCGAAAUUAAACUAAACCGCUGCACGCCUCUGACGCGACAUCUGGACACGGCGCGGCGCUGGCGCUGCCGGAGCUGUCGACCCGGCCUGGCGCCGGACUAGGACUAUUUGCCACGACAUUUCAAAGGAUUCCAAGAGAGAAUAUUGGUGUCCAUGCUGUGAUGAUUCCUCAGCUCCUCUCAUCUGAUCUCCGUCCUGGCCCCCAUGACUUUCUUUGUGGUAGUUAGGGUGUGGUAUGUGCCACUGAGGCCCACACCUAUUGCUUGUCCCUUUUGAUGAGAAGAAUAAGCCUCAUUCUGAUUCAACAGCAGAGAUCAAAGAAAAGACUUCUGUUUUCUGGCCACCAGAUAUAUGUUAUCUGUGCUUAAAGAAUUGAAAAACACACAUCAAAGGAGAAUUUUCUUGGAAAGAGAGGGUUCAAGCAUCACUGUUAGGUGUGCUGGAAUCCUUUCCCGAGUCAGUACUGCUUUCUAGAAGAAAACCGGGGAGAUCUAUUUGGAAUGUAUCUAACUCCAAAGAAACCAUCAGAGGUAACAGGUACCAGAGAUAUAAUAAUGAGAAACAGACAUGCUCCCUCCCCUCAUUGAGGUUACAGCUUAGUGUGGAGACACACAGAUGCCUAACGCACUAUGGUAUGGAAGGUGCUAUGGACACAGUGCUCAAAUCCAUGAUCUACAUAGGUGGAGAACUUCAGUAGAGGAAGUGGCAGGAAUUUGGGAAUGAGGAGCACAGUGAUUAAACUGGGGCCAUUCAUAUGAGAGUUUAAGAACUCAGACCAGUGACUUAGAUUGGCUUCUCUCACAUGGCAAGAAACAUUGCUGCUAGCACUUCCCGAGUUCUACGUUCUACAACAUCCACCACUGGAUCUUAACAUAGACGUAAGAUCAAAUGCAAUAGCAUGUCAAACAAUGUGUAACUCCAGUUAUACAAACAUUACUGUAUCUCAUUGGGGAUACGAAGCUCUACACACUUGAAGAUGGUGAAGGAAUAUAAAAAUCUAUGUCUCACAGUCCAGACUUGGAGUACAAGUAAUAAGAAGAAUAAAACUUAAUCCCUUAAGUAGAUUCACCAUAAGUUAGCUCAGAGCAAUUCCAGUGCAAGUAUGGUCUGUGAUCCAGUAGUAUCUUACAGACAGCAAGUUGAACAUUGUGGGAUGCAUGAGCUAUUGAGGCCUUUGCAGCUUUCUGCUACAUGGAGGCUAGGGCCAGAGUCAAGAUUUAUGCUUUGCAGCACACUGGUCAGCUGUUUUUGCAAAUCAGAUUAAAUGAUUUUUAAAUGAGGCUGAGAGCAUGGGAGAUACUAAUGUGUGUUUCCUUGUGAGCUACUGCAUAAGUUAGGAAAUUGAAAUACAGAAAGAUGAAAAGUGAUUUGCCCAAGCAUAUAGAUCAAAGCUGUGGCAGAACCAGGACUGGAACCUAUAUCUCUCUACUAAUGGUUUUUUUAAAAAAAUAACCUUGUUUCAAAAAUAUUAAAAAGUCACAAGAAAGGUAAACAUGUGGAUAAACAAAAUGAAGAAAAUAAAAAUUAUCCAGUAAUAACAUA
RNAcentral lists this long non-coding RNA (1811 nucleotides) under Homo sapiens (human). Its description in RNAcentral is "CDKN2B and CDKN2A antisense cis and trans regulatory RNA 1, transcript variant 19 (CDKN2B-AS1)". The stretch from base 541 to 684 matches the Rfam family "CDKN2B antisense RNA 1 convserved region 3". Lineage: Eukaryota; Metazoa; Chordata; Mammalia; Primates; Hominidae. The record is from RNAcentral.